AACGAACGCUGGCGGCAGGCUUAACACAUGCAAGUCGAACGCCCCGCAAGGGGAGUGGCAGACGGGUGAGUAACGCGUGGGAAUCUACCCAGUUCUACGGAAUAACCCAGGGAAACUUGGACUAAUACCGUAUACGCCCUACGGGGGAAAGAUUUAUCGGAAUUGGAUGAGCCCGCGUAAGAUUAGCUAGUUGGUGGGGU
RNAcentral lists this ribosomal RNA (200 nucleotides) under uncultured bacterium. RNAcentral describes it as "partial 16S ribosomal RNA". It matches the Rfam family "Bacterial small subunit ribosomal RNA", at positions 29 to 258 of the family's 1533-position model. The record is from RNAcentral.